This 75-nucleotide transfer RNA is filed under the name Candidatus Levybacteria bacterium RIFCSPLOWO2_01_FULL_38_21. RNAcentral describes it as "tRNA-Thr". It matches the Rfam family "tRNA". From Rfam's summary of the family: Transfer RNA (tRNA) molecules are approximately 80 nucleotides in length. Their secondary structure includes four short double-helical elements and three loops (D, anti-codon, and T loops). Lineage: Bacteria; Candidatus Levyibacteriota. The record is from RNAcentral.
GCCCGGAUGGCUCAGUGGCAGAGCGAGUCAUUGGUAAUGACUAGGUCGAGGGUUCGAUUCCCUCUCUGGGCUCAA